GACGAACCGUGCGAACGUUGUUCGGAAUCACUGGGCUUAAAGGGCGCGUAGGCGGGCCAUCAAGUCCGGGGUGAAAUCUUUCGGCUUAACCGGAAAAUUGCCUUGGAUACUGGUGGUCUUGAGGGAAGUAGGGGUCUGCGGAACUUCCGGUGGAGCGGUGAAAUGUGUUGAUAUCGGAAGGAACGCCGGUGGCGAAAGCGGCGGACUGGGCUUCUUUUGACGCUGAGGCGCGAAAGCUAGGGGAGCAAACGGG
RNAcentral lists this ribosomal RNA (253 nucleotides) under uncultured bacterium. Its description in RNAcentral is "partial 16S ribosomal RNA". It matches the Rfam family "Bacterial small subunit ribosomal RNA", at positions 524 to 776 of the family's 1533-position model. The record is from RNAcentral.